RNAcentral lists this ribosomal RNA (497 nucleotides) under uncultured bacterium. RNAcentral describes it as "partial 16S ribosomal RNA". It matches the Rfam family "Bacterial small subunit ribosomal RNA", at positions 28 to 507 of the family's 1533-position model. The record is from RNAcentral.
GAUGAACGCUGGCGGCGUGCCUAAUACAUGCAAGUCGAGCGAACAGACGAGGAGCUUGCUCCUCUGACGUUAGCGGCGGACGGGUGAGUAACACGUGGAUAACCUACCUAUAAGACUGGGAUAACUUCGGGAAACCGGAGCUAAUAUCGGAUAAUAUAUUGAACCGCAUGGUUCAAUAGUGAAAGACGGUUUUGCUGUCACUUAUAGAUGGAUCCGCGCCGCAUUAGCUAGUUGGUAAGGUAACGGCUUACCAAGGCGACGAUGCGUAGCCGACCUGAGAGGGUGAUCGGCCACACUGGAACUGAGACACGGUCCAGACUCCUACGGGAGGCAGCAGUAGGGAAUCUUCCGCAAUGGGCGAAAGCCUGACGGAGCAACGCCGCGUGAGUGAUGAAGGUCCUCGGAUCGUAAAACUCUGUUAUUAGGGAAGAACAAAUGUGUAAGUAACUAUGCACGUCUUGACGGUACCUAAUCAGAAAGCCACGGCUAACUACGUG